This 747-nucleotide ribosomal RNA is filed under the name uncultured bacterium. RNAcentral's name for it is "bacterial SSU rRNA". It matches the Rfam family "Bacterial small subunit ribosomal RNA", at positions 62 to 770 of the family's 1533-position model. The record is from RNAcentral.
UCGAGCGAGUCUGCCUUGAAGAUCGGAGUGCUUGCACUCUGUGAAACAAGAUACAGGCUAGCGGCGGACGGGUGAGUAACACGUGGGUAACCUGCCCAAGAGAUCGGGAUAACACCUGGAAACAGAUGCUAAUACCGGAUAAUAACAGAUGAUGCCUAUCAACUGUUUAAAGAUGGUUCUGCUAUCACUCUUGGAUGGACCUGCGGUGCAUUAGCUAGUUGGUAGGGUAACGGCCUACCAAGGCGAUGAUGCAUAGCCGAGUUGAGAGACUGAUCGGCCACAUUGGGACUGAGACACGGCCCAAACUCCUACGGGAGGCAGCAGUAGGGAAUCUUCCACAAUGGACGCAAGUCUGAUGGAGCAACGCCGCGUGAGUGAAGAAGGGUUUCGGCUCGUAAAGCUCUGUUGUUGGUGAAGAAGGACGGGGGUAGUAACUGACCUUUGUUUGACGGUAAUCAAUUAGAAAGUCACGGCUAACUACGUGCCAGCAGCCGCGGUAAUACGUAGGUGGCAAGCGUUGUCCGGAUUUAUUGGGCGUAAAGCGAGUGCAGGCGGUUCGAUAAGUCUGAUGUGAAAGCCUUCGGCUCAACCGGAGAAUUGCAUCAGAAACUGUCGAGCUUGAGUANNNNAGAGGAGAGUGGAACUCCAUGUGUAGCGGUGAAAUGCGUAGAUAUAUGGAAGAACACCGGUGGCGAAGGCGGCUCUCUGGUCUGUUNNNGACGCUGAAGCUCGAAAGCAUGGGUAGCG